AAGUUUUAUUCUGGCUUAACAGUUUGGAAAAUGGUGACUUUACAUGCAAUUUUUAAUUUAGAGAGGAUUUAAGUGCAGUAAAUAAAUUUAAUGAUUAAGGAGACUUAGAAUUAGGUAUCAAUGAAAGUAUAGACAAAUCUUGUGCCAGCAGUUGCGGUUAGACAUGAUAUACUUCUAAAUUGGGCUCGGAAAGUAAUUAUCUUUAAGAUUUUGGGUGAAAGUUGGUCAUAUAAGGUGAAAUUUUAUGAUUGAUAAAAUUUUUAUUUGUAAGAAAAGUUAUUAGAUUUUUGUAUUAAACUAGGAUUAGAUACCCUAUUAUUGAGAAUGUAAAAUUAAAUUCCUGAGAAGUAUUAGAGGUUCUUGAAAUUUAAAAAAUUUGGCGGUGUUUUAGUCUAUUCAGAGGAACCUGUCCUGUAAUUGAUGAUCCACGAUAAAUAAAACUUGUUCUUUAAGUUUGUAUAUCGUCGUUAUUUGAAUAUCUUUGGAGAGAAAAAUAUUCAUUAUUUUUAAGAAGAAUAUAAAUCAGAUCAAGGUGCAGUUUACGGACAAGGAGAGAUGGGUUACAAUGAAAAUAUUUAUAUGGUUUGGGAGGUGAAGUUCUUUUAAUAAAUAGGAUUUGAUAGUAAAGUAAAUAAUUUAAUUUAUUUGAUUUGAGCUCUAGAACAUGCACAUAUCGCCCGUCGCUCCUAUUACAAAGUAGGAUAAGUCGUAACAAAGUAGGUGUACCGGAAGGUGUACCUGGAAAGG
This 747-nucleotide non-coding RNA is filed under the name Macrodorcas seguyi. Lineage: Eukaryota; Metazoa; Arthropoda; Insecta; Coleoptera; Lucanidae. The record is from RNAcentral.